This 253-nucleotide ribosomal RNA is filed under the name uncultured bacterium. RNAcentral's name for it is "partial 16S ribosomal RNA". It matches the Rfam family "Bacterial small subunit ribosomal RNA", at positions 524 to 776 of the family's 1533-position model. The record is from RNAcentral.
UACGGAGGAUCCAAGCGUUAUCCGGAUUCAUUGGGUUUAAAGGGGGCGUAGGCGGAAUGAUAAGUCAGUGGUGAAAUCUCUUCGCUUAACGAAGAAACUGCCAUUGAUACUGUCAAUCUUGAGUACAUUUGAUGUGGGCGGAAUGUGUCAUGUAGCGGUGAAAUGCUUAGAUAUGACACAGAACACCGAUUGCGAAGGCAGCUCACAAAACUGUAACUGACGCUGAGGCACGAAAGCGUGGGUAUCAAACAGG